This 1412-nucleotide ribosomal RNA is filed under the name Lactiplantibacillus plantarum. Its description in RNAcentral is "bacterial SSU rRNA". It matches the Rfam family "Bacterial small subunit ribosomal RNA", at positions 63 to 1441 of the family's 1533-position model. The record is from RNAcentral. Lineage: Bacteria; Bacillati; Bacillota; Bacilli; Lactobacillales; Lactobacillaceae.
CGAACGAACUCUGGUAUUGAUUGGUGCUUGCAUCAUGAUUUACAUUUGAGUGAGUGGCGAACUGGUGAGUAACACGUGGGAAACCUGCCCAGAAGCGGGGGAUAACACCUGGAAACAGAUGCUAAUACCGCAUAACAACUUGGACCGCAUGGUCCGAGUUUGAAAGAUGGCUUCGGCUAUCACUUUUGGAUGGUCCCGCGGCGUAUUAGCUAGAUGGUGGGGUAACGGCUCACCAUGGCAAUGAUACGUAGCCGACCUGAGAGGGUAAUCGGCCACAUUGGGACUGAGACACGGCCCAAACUCCUACGGGAGGCAGCAGUAGGGAAUCUUCCACAAUGGACGAAAGUCUGAUGGAGCAACGCCGCGUGAGUGAAGAAGGGUUUCGGCUCGUAAAACUCUGUUGUUAAAGAAGAACAUAUCUGAGAGUAACUGUUCAGGUAUUGACGGUAUUUAACCAGAAAGCCACGGCUAACUACGUGCCAGCAGCCGCGGUAAUACGUAGGUGGCAAGCGUUGUCCGGAUUUAUUGGGCGUAAAGCGAGCGCAGGCGGUUUUUUAAGUCUGAUGUGAAAGCCUUCGGCUCAACCGAAGAAGUGCAUCGGAAACUGGGAAACUUGAGUGCAGAAGAGGACAGUGGAACUCCAUGUGUAGCGGUGAAAUGCGUAGAUAUAUGGAAGAACACCAGUGGCGAAGGCGGCUGUCUGGUCUGUAACUGACGCUGAGGCUCGAAAGUAUGGGUAGCAAACAGGAUUAGAUACCCUGGUAGUCCAUACCGUAAACGAUGAAUGCUAAGUGUUGGAGGGUUUCCGCCCUUCAGUGCUGCAGCUAACGCAUUAAGCAUUCCGCCUGGGGAGUACGGCCGCAAGGCUGAAACUCAAAGGAAUUGACGGGGGCCCGCACAAGCGGUGGAGCAUGUGGUUUAAUUCGAAGCUACGCGAAGAACCUUACCAGGUCUUGACAUACUAUGCAAAUCUAAGAGAUUAGACGUUCCCUUCGGGGACAUGGAUACAGGUGGUGCAUGGUUGUCGUCAGCUCGUGUCGUGAGAUGUUGGGUUAAGUCCCGCAACGAGCGCAACCCUUAUUAUCAGUUGCCAGCAUUAAGUUGGGCACUCUGGUGAGACUGCCGGUGACAAACCGGAGGAAGGUGGGGAUGACGUCAAAUCAUCAUGCCCCUUAUGACCUGGGCUACACACGUGCUACAAUGGAUGGUACAACGAGUUGCGAACUCGCGAGAGUAAGCUAAUCUCUUAAAGCCAUUCUCAGUUCGGAUUGUAGGCUGCAACUCGCCUACAUGAAGUCGGAAUCGCUAGUAAUCGCGGAUCAGCAUGCCGCGGUGAAUACGUUCCCGGGCCUUGUACACACCGCCCGUCACACCAUGAGAGUUUGUAACACCCAAAGUCGGUGGGGUAACCU